AAAGAGUUCAUUUUUGCACUAUUUGUGUUUAGCGUUUGACUGUCCGUCUUAUUUAAAAAAAAUUUUGAUUAGUAUUUUUAUUGUUAUUAGAUGAUAAAAUAUGAAUAUUACUUUAUGUAUAACUAUUUUUUUAAAAAAAUCAUAAUUUUUUUAAAUAAGACGAAUCGUCAAACGUUGGAUACAAAAAUCCAUAAAUACAGUUAAU
This 205-nucleotide microRNA precursor is filed under the name Oryza brachyantha (malo sina). RNAcentral's name for it is "MIR812 microRNA precursor family". It matches the Rfam family "MIR812 microRNA precursor family". Lineage: Eukaryota; Viridiplantae; Streptophyta; Magnoliopsida; Poales; Poaceae. The record is from Rfam by way of RNAcentral.